Molecule: ribosomal RNA, 261 nt
Filed under: uncultured prokaryote
Description: partial 16S ribosomal RNA
Rfam family: Bacterial small subunit ribosomal RNA
Source: RNAcentral
UACGUAGGGUGCGAGCGUUGUCCGGAAUUAUUGGGCGUAAAGAGCUUGUAGGCGGUUUGUCGCGUCUGCUGUGAAAAUCCGAGGCUCAACCUCGGACUUGCAGUGGGUACGGGCAGACUAGAGUGUGGUAGGGGAGACUGGAAUUCCUGGUGUAGCGGUGAAAUGCGCAGAUAUCAGGAGGAACACCGAUGGCGAAGGCAGGUCUCUGGGCCACUACUGACGCUGAGGAGCGAAAGCGUGGGGAGCGAACAGGAUUAGAUA